GAUGAAGAACGUAGCGAAAUGCGAUAAGUAAUGUGAAUUGCAGAAUUCAGUGAAUCAUCGAAUCUUUGAACGCACAUUGCGCCCGCCAGUAUUCUGGCGGGCAUGCCUGUUCGAGCGUCAUUUCAACCAUCAAGCCCCCGGCUUGUGUUGGGGACCUGCGGCUGCCGCAGGCCCUGAAAACCAGUGGCGGGCUCGCUAGUCACUCCGAGCGUAGUAAUACAUCUCGCUCAGGGCGUGCUGCGGGUUCCGGCCGUUAAAAAGCCUUAUUUACCCAAGGUUGACCUCGGAUCAGGUAGGAAGACCCGCUAAACUUAAGCAUAUCAAUAAGCGGAGGA
This 335-nucleotide unclassified non-coding RNA is filed under the name soil metagenome. RNAcentral's name for it is "partial contains 5.8S ribosomal RNA, internal transcribed spacer 2, and large subunit ribosomal RNA". The stretch from base 1 to 120 matches the Rfam family "5.8S ribosomal RNA", at positions 35 to 154 of the family's 154-position model. The record is from RNAcentral.